AAAACUGAAGUAACUCCUACAUUUGGCUUCGGCCCAAAUUACGGCUAAAGCCCUGUUUUA
This 60-nucleotide transfer RNA is filed under the name Eulimnogammarus cyaneus. RNAcentral describes it as "tRNA-Arg". Lineage: Eukaryota; Metazoa; Arthropoda; Malacostraca; Amphipoda; Eulimnogammaridae. The record is from RNAcentral.